CGGCAGGCUUAACACAUGCAAGUCGAACGCACCGCAAGGUGAGUGGCAGACGGGUGAGUAACACGUGGGAACGUACCCUUUUGUUCGGAAUAACCCUGGGAAACUAGGGCUAAUACCGGAUACGCCCUAACGGGGAAAGGUUUACUGCAGAAGGAUCGGCCCGCGUCCGAUUAGUUUGUUGGUGGGGUAAUGGCCUACUAAGGCUUCGAUCGGUAGCUGGUCUGAGAGGAUGACCAGCCACAUUGGGACUGAGACACGGCCCAAACUCCUACGGGAGGCAGCAGUGGGGAAUAUUGGACAAUGGGCGCAAGCCUGAUCCAGCCAUGCCGCGUGAGUGAUGAAGGCCUUAGGGUUGUAAAGCUCUUUUACCUGGGAAGAUCAUGACGGUACCAGGAGAAUAAGCCCCGGCUAACUUCGUGCCAGCAGCCGCGGUAAUACGAAGGGGGCUAGCGUUGUUCGGAUUUACUGGGCGUAAAGGGCGCGUAGGCGGGCUGAUAAGUCAGGGGUGAAAUCCCAAGGCUCAACCUUGGAACUGCCUUUGAUACUGUUGGCCUUGAGUCCGGGAGAGGUGAGUGGAACUGCG
Molecule: ribosomal RNA, 583 nt
Filed under: uncultured bacterium
Lineage: Bacteria
Description: bacterial SSU rRNA
Rfam family: Bacterial small subunit ribosomal RNA
Source: RNAcentral